UGGAAGUCUGAUCACUUUAUAUUUACACAUAGAGCAGCUGCUACUGAAAAAAUUUCUGUCCAUAAUACUGAAAACUUACUCGAAGUGGACUUGCAGCUUCCAAUUCUAGACGCCAAAAAAAAAAAAAAGAGAGAGAGAGAAGGUGGAAAUAACCAAAGAAGAGGCUAAUGAGUCUUAAUGAUGCCUUGUCCAAAACAGGCGUCACACAGCUGAAGGAGCAAGGACAGCCAAGACGGGUCCACAACGCUCUCGCUUUCCCCGGCUCAAGACUGUGACGUCUGGUAGACACCGUUUCAGAUCUCCA
Long non-coding RNA from Cervus elaphus (red deer), 304 nucleotides. RefSeq lists it as uncharacterized. The transcript is spliced from 3 exons. The record is from RefSeq and is a predicted model, not a curated record. Lineage: Eukaryota; Metazoa; Chordata; Mammalia; Artiodactyla; Cervidae.